Felis catus (domestic cat) is the source of this 1423-nucleotide long non-coding RNA. RefSeq lists it as uncharacterized. Lineage: Eukaryota; Metazoa; Chordata; Mammalia; Carnivora; Felidae. The record is from RefSeq and is a predicted model, not a curated record. The transcript has 3 exons.
CUGGUGUCCACCUCCCCCUCCCCCUGCUCAGCCAGACGCCCGAAUGAAUAGUGGAGUGGAGUGUGGGGGCCAGGUCAGCAGGGUGGGGGUCUGUCUCGUUUCCCUCUUGCCCCCGUGUCUCCAUACCCACUGCGUCCAGCCGCCCUGCCUGGGUAGAGUGGCCGUGGCCCCAGACCUCAGAGGAUAUGAGGGUCACUGAACGGGCAGUGGAGAUCGGAUACGUGCGACCCCAGGGGUCGUGGGCUCCUGCCGCGAGGUGGUCCCGUGCGCGCAGUCCCAUGGUCCUGGUGCACCUGCGAGGGAUCCACCUACCUCGACCUUUGGUGGGAGCACCUCCCCGCCCACAAGGCUCCCGCGCCACAUCCUGCCCGAAGGUGGGAGCCAGGGGCCACUCUAGCCGGACUGGUGAAGCUCCUCCUCCAAGCGCUCAUGGAACAGUCGGGAAACUGAGGCUAGGAGAGGCAGGGACUGGCCGGGAACCCACCAGGUGAGCAGAGCCUAGAGGGGCUGGGGGAGGUUUCGGGCUCCUAGGCCAGGGCUUCACUUUCCCAUGGGGUUUUUGAGGGAAUGAGAGCCUCUAAGAUCCUGGAGGACCGCUGAACCCAUCCCAUGUGGGGUCCUUUCCUCUGGGCAUCCCUGAGUGGGCACAGGUCCACGCAAUUGCAUGGAAACACAGUCCCCCGCCCCCAGUAACUAAUCACCCACGUGGGUAUCAAAGGAUGAGUGGACUCUGGAGUUGACAGGCGGUGGGGGAGAAAAGUGGUGUGGGGCGGGGACAUUGUCUCCAGGGAACAUGCCCAUGAGUGGAGCCAUGCCAGGCCGAUGGCCAGGGGAUCCCCAAGAUGCCCCCGUGUGUAUCACAGGCACCCCCAUUCUAGAGAAGCACCCCACUCAGCUCCCGUGGUUGGAGACCUUCGAGUGCGCAACGUGUUCUCAUGCUGUGUCAUGAUAUCUCGAGGCUGUGGUCUCAGGAGAGCCCACAGGGAGAGCCUUUUCCCACUUGCAGACGGUGGGUCCGGUCUCACCCCCGAAGCCUCUGGUCACUUGCCCGGAGGGACUCAAAGGUGACAUGGGAGGCCCUGGCUUGGCCGGUCUAGCCUGACACGGCCCUGAUCCGACUGAAAUCAACUGAUGAAAUCGGGAAAUGUCUGGCCGAAUCCCGAUACACCUGCCCUACAGAGUUGUGCGUGUGCCCCGUCGCCCAGGAGGGCUACCCUGGACCGAGGAAGAGAGUGGCUGCAGGGAGGUCUUGGGAAGAUAAGCCUGGAGAUGUUCUGGGAAGGCCUCCUUCACCGCCCAGUCCCCCACUGGGUCCUGGUUCACGGGUCCUGGGAUCAGGACCCGGAGCCCCCGGAGCCAGAGCCCGAGGAGUCCGGGGCAGGAGCGGAAGCCGGUGCGGCUCCAGAGCCCGACCCAAGGGCAU